Molecule: ribosomal RNA, 365 nt
Filed under: uncultured bacterium
Lineage: Bacteria
Description: bacterial SSU rRNA
Rfam family: Bacterial small subunit ribosomal RNA
Source: RNAcentral
UUCGGGUUGUAACCUCUUUCGCAGGGAAGAAGCGAGAGUGACGGUACCUGCAGAAGAAGCGCCGGCUAACUACGUGCCAGCAGCCGCGGUAAUACGUAGGGCGCAAGCGUUGUCCGGAAUUAUUGGGCGUAAAGAGCUCGUAGGCGGCUUGUCGCGUCGGUUGUGAAAGCCCGGGGCUUAACCCCGGGUCUGCAGUCGAUACGGGCAGGCUAGAGUUCGGUAGGGGAGAUCGGAAUUCCUGGUGUAGCGGUGAAAUGCGCAGAUAUCAGGAGGAACACCGGUGGCGAAGGCGGAUCUCUGGGCCGAUACUGACGCUGANGAGCGAAAGCGUGGGGAGCGAACAGGAUUAGAUACCCUGGUAGUCC